RNAcentral lists this ribosomal RNA (429 nucleotides) under uncultured bacterium. RNAcentral describes it as "partial 16S ribosomal RNA". It matches the Rfam family "Bacterial small subunit ribosomal RNA", at positions 355 to 799 of the family's 1533-position model. The record is from RNAcentral.
UGGGGAAUAUUGCACAAUGGGCGAAAGCCUGAUGCAGCAACGCCGCGUGAGUGAUGAAGGCCUUCGGGUUGUAAAGCUCUGUCUUUUGGGACGAUAAUGACGGUACCAAAGGAGGAAGCCACGGCUAACUACGUGCCAGCAGCCGCGGUAAUACGCAGGUGGCAAGCGUUGUCCGGAUUUACUGGGCGUAAAGGAUGCGUAGGCGGAUUUUUUAAGUGAGAUGUGAAAUACCCGGGCUUAACUUGGGUGCUGCAUUUCAAACUGGGAAUCUAGAGUGCGGGAGAGGAGAAUGGAAUUCCUAGUGUAGCGGUGAAAGUGCGUAGAGAUUAGGAAGAACACCAGUGGCGAAGGCGAUUCUCUGGACCGUAACUGACGCUGAGGCAUGAAAGCGUGGGUAGCAAACAAGAUUAGAUACCCUGGUAGUCCACG